AAACCAUCGAACUUGAAUAUCAUAGACUAAUGACUAACGCUCUAAUUGAUAGCGAAAAAUGAUAAAGGUUUGGAUUUUGCAAUGUCAAAGCAUCGCAAGGAAAUAUGCGAGCGUCUCACAGUUUAAAAACCUACCGUCUCGCGUUUGUACCUUUUCGAAUAUUCUUCCUUUCCUCGUCUAUCUCGUUCAUAAGGAACGUGGGAUAUACAAAAGCUAGAAAACAUUAAAUUUACAUAUGAUCGAAUAGUAGAAGCAAAUAUUUCAAAACUGUAUAUUUUAAUAACAUCUGUGGAAAUAUAAUGUCCACUCGGGGUCACAUAGACCCGAGGAAGACAGCAAAGUCGAGCAAAUAUUUCCUUUGCUGUAUGUAUGAAAAUCAAAAUCAGGUAACGUUGGUCGUAGACUGCGACAUAAAUUCAACCGCGUUUGUCCGUGUUACGUUACGUAGCGUUAGAUACAGUUUUACGAACGACGCAGUGGAAAGCAAUUAAUUUGCCCUCGGCUGGAAAAUAAUAAAUUCUCUCCGCUAUUAGAAAUCAACGAAGUUUGGCAAACCAAGGACAUUGAUCACCAGAGACAUUGAAUACUUGCUACGCCUAUUUAUUUGGUCAGCGUGCACGUGCAACAUCACUCGCGUGUAGAAGGUUAGAAUGUCGUGUAAAACGAUAACACGCUUGUAUAAUCGUAGAGAGACUAACGACAACGUGACUGGCCAUUUGAUAAUUCCGUAUAUCCAUUAAUUUACCAAGAUAUUGUAAUACCGCACGUACGCUCGGUGCAUACUUUCGCAUAAACGUUGGCACAAUUGCUUUUAGAUAGCAGGAGAGUAACCAGCGAUAAUAUAUUUCACUGCGAAAUAUCAGUGCUAUUAAUAGCUUAAUAAAGGUUCUGGCAGAUCUGCAAAACUUUCCAGUGUUCCGGCUAUUUUCAACCAUUUUUCUUUCACCUUUAGUUUCCCGAUGCUCGUAAAAUAUCGAAUUAAACGUCCCAAUAGAUUUAGAUAUUAUUAG
This 1010-nucleotide unclassified non-coding RNA is filed under the name Bombus terrestris (buff-tailed bumblebee). Its description in RNAcentral is "misc RNA ENSBTSG00005031411.1". The record is from RNAcentral. Lineage: Eukaryota; Metazoa; Arthropoda; Insecta; Hymenoptera; Apidae.